RNAcentral lists this ribosomal RNA (1364 nucleotides) under Limosilactobacillus reuteri. RNAcentral describes it as "bacterial SSU rRNA". It matches the Rfam family "Bacterial small subunit ribosomal RNA", at positions 68 to 1403 of the family's 1533-position model. The record is from RNAcentral. Lineage: Bacteria; Bacillati; Bacillota; Bacilli; Lactobacillales; Lactobacillaceae.
GAUUGAUGGUGCUUGCACCUGAUUGACGAUGGAUUACCAGUGAGUGGCGGACGGGUGAGUAACACGUAGGUAACCUGCCCCGGAGCGGGGGAUAACAUUUGGAAACAGAUGCUAAUACCGCAUAACAACAAAAGCCACAUGGCUUUUGUUUGAAAGAUGGCUUUGGCUAUCACUCUGGGAUGGACCUGCGGUGCAUUAGCUAGUUGGUAAGGUAACGGCUUACCAAGGCGAUGAUGCAUAGCCGAGUUGAGAGACUGAUCGGCCACAAUGGAACUGAGACACGGUCCAUACUCCUACGGGAGGCAGCAGUAGGGAAUCUUCCACAAUGGGCGCAAGCCUGAUGGAGCAACACCGCGUGAGUGAAGAAGGGUUUCGGCUCGUAAAGCUCUGUUGUUGGAGAAGAACGUGCGUGAGAGUAACUGUUCACGCAGUGACGGUAUCCAACCAGAAAGUCACGGCUAACUACGUGCCAGCAGCCGCGGUAAUACGUAGGUGGCAAGCGUUAUCCGGAUUUAUUGGGCGUAAAGCGAGCGCAGGCGGUUGCUUAGGUCUGAUGUGAAAGCCUUCGGCUUAACCGAAGAAGUGCAUCGGAAACCGGGCGACUUGAGUGCAGAAGAGGACAGUGGAACUCCAUGUGUAGCGGUGGAAUGCGUAGAUAUAUGGAAGAACACCAGUGGCGAAGGCGGCUGUCUGGUCUGCAACUGACGCUGAGGCUCGAAAGCAUGGGUAGCGAACAGGAUUAGAUACCCUGGUAGUCCAUGCCGUAAACGAUGAGUGCUAGGUGUUGGAGGGUUUCCGCCCUUCAGUGCCGGAGCUAACGCAUUAAGCACUCCGCCUGGGGAGUACGACCGCAAGGUUGAAACUCAAAGGAAUUGACGGGGGCCCGCACAAGCGGUGGAGCAUGUGGUUUAAUUCGAAGCUACGCGAAGAACCUUACCAGGUCUUGACAUCUUGCGCUAACCUUAGAGAUAAGGCGUUCCCUUCGGGGACGCAAUGACAGGUGGUGCAUGGUCGUCGUCAGCUCGUGUCGUGAGAUGUUGGGUUAAGUCCCGCAACGAGCGCAACCCUUGUUACUAGUUGCCAGCAUUAAGUUGGGCACUCUAGUGAGACUGCCGGUGACAAACCGGAGGAAGGUGGGGACGACGUCAGAUCAUCAUGCCCCUUAUGACCUGGGCUACACACGUGCUACAAUGGACGGUACAACGAGUCGCAAGCUCGCGAGAGUAAGCUAAUCUCUUAAAGCCGUUCUCAGUUCGGACUGUAGGCUGCAACUCGCCUACACGAAGUCGGAAUCGCUAGUAAUCGCGGAUCAGCAUGCCGCGGUGAAUACGUUCCCGGGCCUUGUACACACCGCCCGUCACACC